Podarcis lilfordi (Lilford's wall lizard) is the source of this 251-nucleotide non-coding RNA. The record is from the annotation of a GenBank genome assembly. NCBI's taxonomy places the organism in Eukaryota, Metazoa, Chordata, Lepidosauria, Squamata, Lacertidae.
GGGCCAAAGCUCAGUGGUAGAACAUCUGUCUGUCACCAGGAAGUCUAAUGUUCAAACUCUGGUAUCUCCCAGUAAGCCUGAAACCCAGGAGAGCCACUGCCAGUCAGUGCAUACAAUGCUGUACUAGAUGGGCCAAGUGUUUGUCUCUGUGGCACUAGGGACGCGGGUGGCACUGUGGGUUAAACCACAGAGCCUAGGACUUGCCGAUCAGAAGGUCGGUGGUUCGAAUCCCCACGACGAGGUGAGCUCCA